This 253-nucleotide ribosomal RNA is filed under the name uncultured bacterium. Its description in RNAcentral is "partial 16S ribosomal RNA". It matches the Rfam family "Bacterial small subunit ribosomal RNA", at positions 524 to 776 of the family's 1533-position model. The record is from RNAcentral.
UACGGAGGGUGCAAGCGUUAUCCGGAUUCACUGGGUUUAAAGGGUGCGUAGGCGGAUUGCUAAGUCAGGGGUGAAAUCCUGGAGCUCAACUCCAGAACUGCCUUUGAUACUGGUGAUCUUGAGUCCGGGAGAGGUGAGUGGAACUGCGAGUGUAGCGGUGAAAUGCGUAGAGAUGUGGAGGAACACCAGUGGCGAAGGCGACUCUUUGGCCUGUAACUGACGCUGAGGCGCGAAAGCGUGGGGAGCAAACAGG